This 258-nucleotide ribosomal RNA is filed under the name uncultured bacterium. RNAcentral describes it as "partial 16S ribosomal RNA". It matches the Rfam family "Bacterial small subunit ribosomal RNA", at positions 793 to 1055 of the family's 1533-position model. The record is from RNAcentral.
GUCCACGCCGUAAACGAUGUCGACUAGCCGUUGGGAGCCUUGAGCUCUUAGUGGCGCAGCUAACGCAUUAAGUCGACCGCCUGGGGAGUACGGCCGCAAGGUUAAACUCAAAUGAAUUGACGGGGGCCCGCACAAGCGGUGGAGCAUGUGGUUUAAUUCGAAGCAACGCGAAGAACCUUACCAGGGCUUGACAUGUGGGUGAAGCGGCGGAGACGCCGUGGCCUAGCGGAGCCCACACAGGUGGUGCAUGGCUGUCGU